This 502-nucleotide ribosomal RNA is filed under the name uncultured bacterium. RNAcentral's name for it is "partial 16S ribosomal RNA". It matches the Rfam family "Bacterial small subunit ribosomal RNA", at positions 30 to 523 of the family's 1533-position model. The record is from RNAcentral.
AUUGAACGCUGGCGGAAUGCUUUACACAUGCAAGUCGAACGGCAGCAUAGGUGCUUGCACCUGAUGGCGAGUGGCGAACGGGUGAGUAAUAUAUCGGAACAUGUCCGGAAGUGGGGGAUAACGUAGCGAAAGUUACGCUAAUACCGCCUAUGCCCUGAGGGGGUAAGGGGGGGAUCGCAAGACCUCUCGCUUUCGGAGUGGACGAUAUCAGAUUAGCUAGUAGGUGAGGUAAAGGCUCACCUAGACGACGAUCCGUAGCUGGUCUGAGAGGACGACCAGCCACACUGGGACUGAUACACGGCCCAGACUCCUACGGGAGGCAGCAGUGGGGAAUUUUGGACAAUGGGCGCAAGCCUGAUCCAGCCAUGCCGCGUGAGUGAAGAAGGCCUUCGGGUUGUAAAGCUCUUUCAGCUGGAAAGAAAUCGUAUCUAUUAAUACUAGGUGCGGAUGACGGUACCAGCAGAAGAAGCACCGGCUAACUACGUGCCAGCCGCCGCGGUAA